This 320-nucleotide ribosomal RNA is filed under the name uncultured Pseudomonadota bacterium. RNAcentral's name for it is "bacterial SSU rRNA". It matches the Rfam family "Bacterial small subunit ribosomal RNA", at positions 29 to 351 of the family's 1533-position model. The record is from RNAcentral. Lineage: Bacteria; Pseudomonadati; Pseudomonadota.
AACGAACGCUGGCGGCGUGCUUAACACAUGCAAGUCGCACGAGAAAGUCCUUCGGGAUGAGUAGAGUGGCGCACGGGUGAGUAAUACAUGGGAACGUACCUUUCGGUGGAGGAUAACCACGGGAAACUGUGGCUAAUACUGCAUAGCUUCGAAAGAAUAAAGAUGGCCUCUAUUUAUAAGCUAUCGCCGGUCGAUCGGCCCAUGUCCUAUCAGCUAGUUGGUGAGGUAAUGGCUCACCAAGGCUAUGACGGGUAGCUGGUCUGAGAGGAUGAUCAGCCACACUGGAACUGAGACACGGUCCAGACUCCUACGGGUGGCUG